Molecule: long non-coding RNA, 6708 nt
Filed under: Homo sapiens (human)
Lineage: Eukaryota; Metazoa; Chordata; Mammalia; Primates; Hominidae
Source: RNAcentral
CCCGCCGAAGGUUUUCUCCGGUUCGGGAGAGAGACGGAGUCCCGCUCUGUCACGCAGGCUGCCAGGCUGGCGUACAGUGGCGCAAUCUCAGCUCGCUGCAACCUCCACCUCCUGGGUUCAAGCGAUUUUCUUGCCUCUGCCUCCUGAGUAGCUGGGAUUACUGGCACACACCACCAUGCACAGUUCCUUGUUCAAAAUGCCAAGAACCUGGAUGACUCAUAGUCAAGACCCUCCACCAGUAACAUAUAUUGGCGAGCCAGCCAGGAGACCACUACAGGAAACACUCCAUUUAUUCCACCUGACUUCCCACUUGGCUGCAUCCUCAACCAUUGAAAUGAAUUUGACCCUGAUAAUCUAAGGAGGAAACAUUUGAUAUUCUUUUGCAAUAAUACUUGGCCCCAGUAUUGUUUGGAAUCUGGAGUUUGCUGUUGAAUGGGAAAGCAGGAUGACGUUGCAUGUAUCCAGGCUUUGGUGCUGCUGUCCUAAGAAGGGUCAGGCCUAGUCAGCAUAUGGUGCUCUCCUUUGGUGCUAUUUGGCUCCAGUGUCUUUGGAGUCUGAGGAGGUUUGGCCUUUAAAAAUCAAACUGCCACCGGAACUGCUUUAAAAAUGUUUGGUUCACAGCCUUCACUGGAUUACCUAUUGGAGCAAACAAAGUGUAACCAUGUAAAACCUGUGAGCUUGUAUUGAUAUCUCAUGGCUAGAGUUCCAAGCGAAUGGGUCUCAUGAGAUCUGAUGGUUUUGAAAAUGGGAGUUGCCCUGCACAAGCUCUCCUUUUGCCUGCUGCCAUCCACAUAAGAUGUGAUUUGCUCUUCCUUGCCUUCCACCAUGAUUGUGAGGCCUUCCCAGCAUGUGGAAAUGGUCCAGCCUGCAAUAACUGAAGCCCCCAGACCUGGAACCUGAAGAUCCCAUCAGCCACUAAACCUGUGAACCUGUAGAAGACCUGAAGUACCUGUUUAAAAGGCAGCCAAAAGAUAAGUAAAUUCCUAUCAACUUUCCUUGGUGUCCUUCUUGUAUAUUUACUGUAAGCUGGAUAUAAUAGUAGCCAUUUUUAUAUUUUUACAAUUUAAUUGCUUUCUUCCAAAUGGAUUGAAUCACUUCUUUUAAAGUGUUUUAAUUAAUUUUUAUCUAUAGAACAAAAUAACAAAUAAGUAUUUUUUUUUUAUACCAUAAUGGUCACCCACAGCCUGUGUAUACUAAGACCAUGCAUACUGAUAAUCAGCUUUAUUUUACAAAAGAGUUUCGCUUUACCCCUCUGGUAAUUAAUGGAUUCUGGGUAUUUAUUAAAAACUUUAACACAAAGACUGUUAAAUACCACCAGUCCAGCUUUGGCAAGGCACUGUUGGCUUUGUUUAUCUCCAUCAUCAUCCAAACAGACUACCAAUCCUGAUCCCAGCCCAAUCUUGGGCCCUUGAAAAAAUAACUUAACAUCCUAACUACAAGGGAGAAACUCCUUUCAAAUUAAUGAACCUGGCUGACUUAUAUAGCCUUAAAAUUAUGGAAAUGACAAGGGUUACAAUGUCAGAAUGAGCAGUAAACCUUCCCCAGUCCUAUCAGAGCAAACUUUCUGGGGUUGCAUCCCCUCAGAAACCCAUUUGGGGCCCAAUCUCAAUGCACAUAUCAGUGCGCAAAGCACUAAAAUUCCAGGCAACACUUUGUAUUGAGAGAAGCCAAAAUUUUGGUCCCGCCCUGGGACAUCUAAAGUCACCAAUGUAACUACACCAUACAGAUUAAACCCUCACAUGAUCAUGUAAGCUAUGCAGUUACCCAAGCUGCAUCAUUUAGAAAACCUGUACAGUUUUUAUGGAAACCAUCCCUAGUCAAGGACACUUUAAAUAUAUAGUCUAAAUACCGUUAAGGUAGGCCCACUAGCUGUGUUCACAUUUUCCCUUGGCCACCUUACCAGGGACUUUAAUAACUUGGGAAAGUGAAAACAACAAGCUAACCCACAUGUUCACCAUAGAAAACAAUUUUGUCUUGAAAAACAAGGACUCUUUUUCCCGUGUGGGACCAGUUCCUACUUAUGUUUUACCAGCCAAUUGGACUGGAACCUAUACAGUUGUUUAUUUAGCCCCCGAAAUUAAUAUAGCUCCCAACAACCAAUCCUUCAUUAUACUUUUAACUGCAACCACCAGACACAAAUGAGCCAUCCAACUGAUACCACUUUCGGUAGAGCUAGGAAUAACAGCAGGAGUAGGAAUGAGAGUUAGCAGCCUUGCAGUUUCCCUAUCCUAUUACCAAUGCUUGUCCAAGGAUUUUAUGGAAAGCUUAGGUGACAUUGCCCAAAAGUAUCAUCACCUUACAAAAUCAGAUAGAGUCUUUGGCAGUGGUGGCUUUGUAAAAUAGAAGGGGACUGGAUCUCCUAAAUGCUGAAGAAGGUGGCUUAUGUCUUUUUCCUAGAGGAAGAAUGCUGUUUUUAUGUCAACCAAACAGGAUUAGUAAGGGAUGCCACCCAAAAACUAGCCGAUUGGUACCAUAAGAUAUGACAACAGCUGUCUGAGUCAUGGGGCGCCUAGUCAAAAUGCUAAUUUGGGGCUCACAUCUCCUUCCUCUGGCCAGUCCACUAUUAAUUAUUAUACUUGCCUUGGCUUUUGGAUCAUGUUUGUUAAAUCUUUUAACCAGAUUUAUUUCUUCUUGCCUAGAGACCAUUAUGAUAAUGCAGCAGGGCCACCAGUCAGUUUCAGAUAAUGAUGUCAACCCCGGCCACCAAGAAGUAACCUUGUCUCCACUAGACAGAGCAGGGUGAGAGUUCUGUAAUCCCCAGUAGGUAGGGACUGUGCCCCAAGUCAGCAUGAAGUAGUUAUGGAAGAAAGACCAUGGGUCCCUCUGCCUCCCAGAAAGAUUUAUGGGGAUCACAUCUCUCAGGGGAAAAUGAGGCAGGAGAAUAGGGUCUGGAGACAGGGAACCUAAAGCUGAUUUGUGCUGAGUUUCUAGGAUUGAAUGAAAAGGAAAACCCCACCUCUCCACACCCAAGUAACAAAAGGAUCAGAGGCUACUCCCUUUGCACUGCAUUGCAGAUAAAAAAUGGAAAGUACCUCAGAUUGGUCCCCUCCCACAACCAAUCAGACUGGCCAUGGGCUACUCCUUCGUUUACAUAGGGUGUAACCAAGUAACCAAUGGGAAACCUCUAGCGGGUAUGUAAACCCCAGAAAAUUCUGUAACCAGUGCUCUUGAGCUGCUUGCUGGAGCCUACUCCCACUUUGUGAAGUGUACUUUCAUUUCAAUAAAUUUGUGCUUUCAUUGCUUCAUUCCUUCGUUGCUUUGUGUGUUUUGUCCAAUUCUUUGUUCAAAACACCAAGAACCUGGAUGACUCAUAGUCAAGAUCCUCUACCAGUAACACUUGAACUUUCUGGUUUGUCCUGAACAUCCCUCUUUCUUAAACAACCAGUCGUUUUAUUCUAGGCCAAAAUUUUACCAUACAAGAAUAUUUCUCAUAUACAAUUAUCUUCCUUCUAACUUUUCUUGCCAGAAAUACCUUUUAUAACUUUCUUUACAUUGCUUUUAUUUAACGAUUACUUUUACCUUGUUUCAUAAGUUUUAAAUAGCCUUGAAUUAGAUAAAAAAUUAUUUUCCUUUAAAUAAGAACACAUUUCUUUUUUUAGAAAAAUAUUUUUCUGUAAUUUUUUUUUUUUCUUGAGACAGAGUCUUGCUCUGUCACCCAGGCUGGAGUGCAGUGGCACAAUCUUGGCUCACUGCAAGUUCUGCCUCCCGGGUUCACGCCAUCCUCCUGCCUCAGCCUCCAGGGUAGCUGGGACUAGAGGUGCACACCACCACGCCUGGCUAAUUUUUUGUAUUUUUAGUAGAGACGGGGUUUCACUGUGUUAGCCAGGAUGAUCUCGAUCUCCUGACUAUGAUCUGUCUGCCUCAGCCUCCCAAAGUGCUGGGAUUACAGGUGUGAGCCACUGCACCUGGCCUAAUAUUUUAAAUUGGAAAUGACCCAGAUGUUUAAUGAGUACCUAUUAUUUAACUUAAUAUAAUUUUAGAUUCUAAAUUAUAUAACAAGUUUAAUCACAAGCAUUUAUUCCAUUACAUUUACCUAAUUAAUUUUUUUAAUAGUUUACUCAGAUUACUUUUGAAAACUGAGAGUUAUCAUUGAAAGUUAUUUCCCAGUUAAUCAUUUUUAUAGACUGCGAAUUUCAGGUUUUCCUAAGUAAGAAACUUAAGGUUAGAUAAAUGGUUUCUUUUUUUUUUUUUUUGCCAAUAACUUAGGAUUUAGCUGUUUUCAUUAACUAAACAAUAUUAAAUGCCUUAUUUAUGAAAUUUUACAUAGAGAUAAUUUUCCUUUGGGCUGCAUUCAUUGUUUUAUAACCCUCAUGCCAAAUUUUGGCAUCUAGCAGAGAUAAAUAUGAAACCACUGUUCCAAUAAAUUUAAACAAUAGUGUAUGUUGACAAUUCUGAAGCCAUUCUAAUUCUAAUUUUAUUUCAUGACUACUUUCAAAACCAGCUUAUUUAUUAAAGAUAUACUUAAGUCACAUGAACUUGAAAAGACAUUUGGCUUAAAAUCUCUAUUUUCUCUGAUACAGUAUUUGAUUUAAAGCCCCUUUUUUUCUUUAAGCCAAUUAAUUAGAGCACUUUUACAUGUUUCUAGUAGUGAAACAUCAUAUACAUGACACAUAAAUACAUAGAUGUAUUAUACAUGCAGAUAGAAGUAGAGCUUAUCAUUUCACAAGACCUCUUUUUUUCCUCCAGUUCUAGACUUCUAAUUUCUUGAUCUUAUUACCCUAGGCAGUUGUCAGCUAAGAUAACCCUAAAUUUGCAUAUUAAAGGAACUCUUAGAUGAAAAAAAUCAGAUAGUGAAAUUUACAUCUCAAGGUACAGAGAGAAAGAGUCUGGUGCUAGUGUUUCCAGAAUUUAUUCCUUCUGGUGGGUUCUUGGUCUCUCUGACUUCAAGAAAGAAGCCUCGGACCUUGCAGUGAGUGUUACAGCUCUUAAAGGUGGCGUGUCCAGGGUUGUUUGUUCCUUCUGGUGGGUUUGUGGUCUCACUUCAGGAAUGAAGCUGCAGACCCUCAUGGUGAGUGUUACAGCAAUUAAAGGUAGUGUGGACCCAAAGAGUGAGCAGCAGCAAGAUUUAUUAUGAAGAGCGAAAGAACAAAGCUUCCACAGCAUGGAAAGGGACCUGAGCGGGUUGAUGCUGCUGGCUGUGGUGACCAGCUUUUAUUCCCUUAUUCGUCCCCACCCACGUCCUGGUGAUUGGUCCAUUUUACAGAGCACUGAUUGGUCCAUUUCACAGAGUGCUGAUUGGUGCAUUUUACAGAGUGCUGAUUGGCGCAUUUACAAUCCUUUAGCUAGACACAGAGUGCUGAUUGGUGCAUUUUUACAGAGUGCUGAUUGGUGCAUUUACAAUCCUUUAGCCACAGAGUGCUGAUUGGUGCAUUUACAAUCCUUUAGCUAGACACAGAGCACUGAUUGGUGUGUUUAUAAUCCUCUAGCUAGACAGAAAAGUUCCCCAAGUCCCCACUCGACCCAGGAAGUCCAGCUGGUUUCACCUCUCACUAGUAGGAGGAGAUUAAAAACGAAUGCCAAAUCAAACAUAAAAUUAUAGAAAUCUAUCAUAGGAUUAUAUUAGAAGACUGACUUUAUUUAUAUAAGUAGUUCUAAAUUUAGUCUGCCUUUUAACUGGAUCUCUGAGCUCUGGGCAGAGCCCACACUGAAUUCCGGGUCUCCAAAAAGAGAAUUAUUAUGAGGCUAAGACCAUGUGAUGGUUUUAUGAGUGCACUCUCCUUUUUUUUUUUUUUUUAACAAAAAUGUUUCUCUAAGUGUCUGAACUACUCUCUUCCUAACUUUAAACACCCAACAGUAACCUCUGUUGUUACUCUUUGACUAAAAUAAUUAUUUUAGUUAAAAAAAAAAAAAAAAGAAGAAAGAAAGAAACCAGGUAACACUAUACAAAAGGAAGCAGUGUAAGAUCUGAGACGAAAUUUUCUCUUUUACACUCUUUGAGUUCCAUAAGGAGAAACAGAGGUUGCUCCCCAAAAGGGAGUCUAGUGCCUUCUCUGUUUUCUUUAAGGAAUCCCAGGGUGUUAGAAACUAUUUUAGAUUCCUCAUGCAGCACAGGGUAGCAAGAGAAAGAAGAGGCAGCAGAAGUAAAAUGAAGAAAACAGAAUUUGGUUGACGGAGAAGAAAAAAACUUUUGCUCAAAAAGUUGAAGGAGAGAAAUAAAAAAGGCCUUAACUACACACACACACACACACACACACACACACCUUGGAUGUUAGCUUUUAUUUAAGCUUUUAGCCACUAAGCUCCUUAAAAAAAAUACCUUCAAAUCUCAUUACUGUAUUUUAGCUAGUACAAACUGCUGAUAUUUCAAAAGUAAUGCAAAUACCAAACCAGAAAGGGCUUGAUUUAGGAACCAAACUUAGGCAGUCAUGAUGAAAAUAAGGACAGAAUCUUAGUUUCCAAACUGCAGUGCUGGGGGACAACCAUUGCUCUUUCAGUUUGGCCUGGUUAGCAAAAGAUGGCCUUGUUAUGUAAAUAAAGCCCCUAAGGUAGUCAAAAUCAAAAAAAAUUUUUUUUUCCUUUUGCUAGCUGUUUUUUUCUUUUUUCUUUUUCAGUUGCAGGAAUUUAGCCAAUUCAGAGGUCUUGUUCUCCAUAAUUUGGAAUUUUCCUUCGGAUUUGAUCAAGUUGGAUAGAGUUGGUCAAACCCAAUGGGAAAAAGAUGAAAACAACAAGAAACAGAAACAAACAGCAACAACAACAACAACAAAAACA